This 495-nucleotide ribosomal RNA is filed under the name uncultured bacterium. RNAcentral's name for it is "partial 16S ribosomal RNA". The stretch from base 209 to 495 matches the Rfam family "Bacterial large subunit ribosomal RNA", at positions 1 to 283 of the family's 2925-position model. The record is from RNAcentral.
CAAGGUAGCCGUACCGGAAGGUGCGGCUGGAUCACCUCCUUUCUAAGGAGCACACGCCAACCCAUCCGACACAGCUACAUACGUAGUUGUCGGUGAUGGUGAGGCUGUCUCAAAGAAAGUGUCGAAGCCUGGCAUCCCUCUUCAGCUACAAUGCGUUUGUUAUGCAUCUUGAGAAUGAAAGAGCGAGCACGAGUAAUCAACAUAAGUACUCCAAGUUAUUAAGAGCCAACGGUGGAUGCCUUGGCGCCUGAAGCCGAUGAAGGACGUAGGCGACUGCGAUAAGCCAUGGGGAGCUGUCUACCAAGCUUCGAUCCAUGGAUCUCCGAAUGGGGAAACCCGACAUCAGUUAAUGCGAUGUCACCCCUGCCUGAAUAUAUAGGGCAGGAGGAGGGAACAAGGGGAAUUGAAACAUCUCAGUACCCUUUAGGAAAGGAAAACAACAGUGACUCCCCAAGUAGCGGCGAGCGAAAAGGGAAGAGCCUAAACCGAACCGGU